UGCUAAAGAUAUUCCCCUCUCCUUGUAUCCAUUCUUUCAACUCCUCCAUCUCGCCGAGUGCCAGGCAGCAGAGUAACAACUACUCAAUCUGGAGAAAACUGUCUAGCACCUGACCAUGGGGCAGGACAGCAACACCACUGUUCACCACCUCAACUCCCUGCACCUGCAUUUAACAUGCGGAGAGUUACUCAAGGAACGGCAGUCCCUCCACAACUCCCUCCACCCCCCGCACCAGCCCUCAACAUGCAGCGAACAGAGGAAGCCUGUUCAAGCCUGAACUACAGACCAACAUGGCGAGGGGGAAGAAUGACCGAUACCAUUCCCUGCUCUGGUGAGCAAUAACUGACAAAUACUGGAGGGUCAUUCUGUGCCACAGAUUUUGGAAAAAAAAUCCCACAACCAUCACAUAUUUUCUUCAAACUUUGUCAAUAACUUUUGUCAUUAACUAAUGUCAAUAACUUAUGUCAGUAUUAUGAGUAAUGAGGAUAAACACUGAAACGUGAUAUAUUUUAUACACUACAUUUUAGCUAUAUUUCAUGUUUGUCAACAGCGGCUGAGGUCCACAUCCUUAGCCUGCUGGAAACUAUUAAACACCAUCAAGACCAGCUUGUGGCGAAGGUGAACUACCUCAGCAACAGGCUGAACAGCACCCCGGGGCCAGAUGUCGAGAUGCCUGACAAUAUCCAGUUUCCCCUGGAAC
Molecule: long non-coding RNA, 700 nt
Organism: Rhinichthys klamathensis goyatoka
Lineage: Eukaryota; Metazoa; Chordata; Actinopteri; Cypriniformes; Leuciscidae
Exons: 3
Source: RefSeq, a predicted model, not a curated record